GACGAACGCUGGCGGCGUGCUUAACACAUGCAAGUCGAACGGAAAGGCCCUGCUUUUGUGGGGUGCUCGAGUGGCGAACGGGUGAGUAACACGUGAGUAACCUGCCCUUGACUUUGUGAUAACUUCUGGAAACUGGGGCUAAUACCUGAUAGGAUCUCCUGCUGCAUGGUGGGGGUUGGAAAGUUUCGGCGGUUGGGGAUGGACUCGCGGCUUAUCAGCUUGUUGGUGGGGUAGUGGCUUACCAAGGGUUUGACGGGUAGCCGGCCUGAGAGGGUGACCGGCAAAAUUGGGACUGAGAGACGGCCCAGACUGCAACGGGAGGAAGCAGUGGGGAAGAGUGCAAAAUGGGCGGAAGCCUGAUGAAGAAAAGCAGCGGGCGGGAUGACGGCCUUCGGGUUGUAAACAGAUUUCGAAUGUGACGAAGAGUGAGUGACGGUAAUGGGUAAAGAAGCAACGGCUAACUACGUG
This 468-nucleotide ribosomal RNA is filed under the name uncultured bacterium. RNAcentral's name for it is "partial 16S ribosomal RNA". It matches the Rfam family "Bacterial small subunit ribosomal RNA", at positions 28 to 507 of the family's 1533-position model. The record is from RNAcentral.